Long non-coding RNA from Penaeus indicus, 507 nucleotides. RefSeq lists it as uncharacterized. The record is from RefSeq and is a predicted model, not a curated record. NCBI's taxonomy places the organism in Eukaryota, Metazoa, Arthropoda, Malacostraca, Decapoda, Penaeidae. The transcript has 2 exons.
CCAUUCAGUCUUCCUUCAGUUUUUGAUUUACGCUAAGUUCCCACGAACGAACUGGAAACGUCUGCAGUCGUGUUGUUGUUGUUAAUUAUUAUCAUCAUUUUUAUUAUCAUGAUUAUCAGCAGCAGUAGUCUAAUGUCACAAGCAUGUUCUAGAUUAAGAUAUAAAUAGAGGCUCUAGCAUGGCUACAAGGUGAAUGUGGUGUCCUUUCCACGUAGCUCGGAUGUUGGGCAACGUCCUGGAACGAAAACAAAAACAAAACAACAAUCAAACAGUAAAGAAAUGUUGAUUUGUUGCCUCUAGUUCUCGCUUCACCGAUUUGUUCUACUGUGCCUGCAAGGAACUAGAUAAUCAAGCCUUAACUCUCUCGGUGCAAGAGUAUUCGCCGAGGGUCGUACAAAAACGUAGUCCAGUGAGUCAAUGCAGCGCAGAGUGCAAUGUAAUGAAUGAAUGCAGUGUGCAUGUUCUCGGUUAAUUAAUAAAUGACAUGUAGAUAUGACUAUAACAUAA